UCUACAGUAGCUACUACCAUCUCUGUGUUUCCAGGUAGAGAAGGCCAGCAUCAGGAAUGUCAGCAGCAGCAGUAGCCUCCAUCAUUAUUUCUACUCUGACCCUCAGACUGGGUCUGCAUGGGACUGGGCUUUCAUAUCAGGCAGGGGGCUGUGAAACCAGCCCACCAAUCAGAAGACAGAACACAGCCGUGGUGCUGAAAAGUAGGAAUGCAGAUCUCUCCUUGACAUCCCGACUGGGAGCAACCCCCUUCAAUCUUACCCCUCAAAUCCACCUCAACCCCCCCCCUUUAAUCUCCCCCCCCCCCAGUCCUCCCACUCUCUCCGACACGUCUUAAUGCCUCUCGACCCCUGACCCUCUACCAACUCAACCCAUCCCCCUCCCCCAUACCACCUCACAAUAUGUCUCAAUGUCUCCUACCUAUGACCCCAAACCCCUUUACAGUCCUUCAAACCUACAACAUCAACCCCUCUCCCCUCCCCUGCCACCCCUCAAUAUCUCCACUCGAACACCCCUUCAUCUCCAGUCUGGGUCCAACCUGCA
Molecule: non-coding RNA, 541 nt
Organism: Salmo salar (Atlantic salmon)
Lineage: Eukaryota; Metazoa; Chordata; Actinopteri; Salmoniformes; Salmonidae
Source: RefSeq, a predicted model, not a curated record